This 160-nucleotide ribosomal RNA is filed under the name Lentinus brumalis. Its description in RNAcentral is "5.8S ribosomal RNA". It matches the Rfam family "5.8S ribosomal RNA". Rfam says of the family: 5.8S ribosomal RNA (5.8S rRNA) is a component of the large subunit of the eukaryotic ribosome. It is transcribed by RNA polymerase I as part of the 45S precursor that also contains 18S and 28S rRNA. Lineage: Eukaryota; Fungi; Basidiomycota; Agaricomycetes; Polyporales; Polyporaceae. The record is from RNAcentral.
ACAACUUUCAGCAACGGAUCUCUUGGCUCUCGCAUCGAUGAAGAACGCAGCGAAAUGCGAUAAGUAAUGUGAAUUGCAGAAUUCAGUGAAUCAUCGAAUCUUUGAACGCACCUUGCGCUCCUUGGUAUUCCGAGGAGCAUGCCUGUUUGAGHGHCAUGAA